AGUGAACGCUGGCGGUAGGCCUAACACAUGCAAGUCGAACGGCAGCACAGGAGAGCUUGCUCUCUGGGUGGCGAGUGGCGGACGGGUGAGGAAUACAUCGGAAUCUACCUUUUCGUGGGGGAUAACGUAGGGAAACUUACGCUAAUACCGCAUACGACCUACGGGUGAAAGUGGGGGACCGCAAGGCCUCACGCGAUUAGAUGAGCCGAUGUCCGAUUAGCUAGUUGGCGGGGUAAUGGCCCACCAAGGCGACGAUCGGUAGCUGGUCUGAGAGGAUGAUCAGCCACACUGGAACUGAGACACGGUCCAGACUCCUACGGGAGGCAGCAGUGGGGAAUAUUGGACAAUGGGCGCAAGCCUGAUCCAGCCAUACCGCGUGGGUGAAGAAGGCCUUCGGGUUGUAAAGCCCUUUUGUUGGGAAAGAAAUCCUAUCGGUUAAUAACCGAUGGGGAUGACGGUACCCAAAGAAUAAGCACCGGCUAACUUCGUG
This 490-nucleotide ribosomal RNA is filed under the name uncultured bacterium. Its description in RNAcentral is "bacterial SSU rRNA". It matches the Rfam family "Bacterial small subunit ribosomal RNA", at positions 29 to 507 of the family's 1533-position model. The record is from RNAcentral.